CCACACUGUUUGCUUUGCUGUCCCAAGGCAUCCCAAAUGGUCUUGGGGUACCCACUGCAGUGAGGAGGACUGCCUGGAGAUGCUCCAGAGAGAGGGAUCCAUCUCUUGCCAGAUCAAAUGCUGCCUUCAUCUGGAUGGUGGUUAUUACUUACAAAGUAUUAGGAAAAGGGAAAAAGCACCCCAACAUGGUGCCUAAAACCUUCAGUGAGCCUGUCAUCGCCCCAGUGACAUAAUCCGCCUGCUAGAUUUGACGUGCAAAAGAAUGUCAGAAACUCCUCAGAGGAAAACAUGCAACACAACAGAAAGUUGGAUGGUAUUGAUUAAAGCCCCACUUCAAAGUGUGUUGAAACAACAUAUUCUCCGUACUGCAGCACAAGAAAUCUGUCACAGCGUUUUUCACAGUGAGUCAUCCUAUCGAUAUGUGGGGAGGAGGGAUGCAUGUGGAAGUAUGCGGGUGUACACUGAGCACCCCUCCUCGCCCACAUCCACUGAGUCACAGCCCCGCAGCAGCGCUCGCACACAUCCCUACAAAGCAGCAU
Molecule: long non-coding RNA, 539 nt
Filed under: Gallus gallus (chicken)
Lineage: Eukaryota; Metazoa; Chordata; Aves; Galliformes; Phasianidae
Description: long non-coding RNA NONGGAT009379
Source: RNAcentral